This 677-nucleotide long non-coding RNA is filed under the name Micromonas pusilla. RNAcentral's name for it is "long non-coding RNA (MPUS_LNC000117)". The record is from RNAcentral. Lineage: Eukaryota; Viridiplantae; Chlorophyta; Mamiellophyceae; Mamiellales; Mamiellaceae.
AAACGUUGAAACCGAGGGACGCGUGAAAAACGUUCGUGAACGCGCUCGCCUCGCCUCGGCGCGAGUCGCGUUUUCGACGCGAACGCGGCGUCGUCGAUCACUCACUUCACGCGCCGCCGGGCACGGAGGUGCGCCCGUCUCCCCUCUCGCGGACCCUCCCCCUCCCCCCUCGAUCGCGCUCGCGCGCCGCGUCGCCGCGUCGUCGCCCCGCCCUCGACGCGCGCGUCCUGACGCCCGCGCCCUUCCGCCCGUCCACCUCCGCCCCGCCCCCCGUCGCGUCGUAGUUCGCAGAGCGGAGAGGACGCGAAGAUGAUUUAUGACACGAACAGCACGCUGUUCCGGUCGUUCCUGAAGGCGUCCACGAAGACGGGCCACGUCGCCGGCGUCGGCGGCGUCGCCAAGGACAUCAAGGCCAAGGGGAGCGACGGGAAGUACCAGGGCGAGUGAGCCCCCGUGAGCGCGGCGGAGGCGGAGACGGGGACGGGAGCUGAGUUUUGAACGAAAGAGAAGUAACCCUACAGUACCCGACGCAGUACCUCGGACCUCCUCGGACCUCGCGAGAAACCCGAGGCGACGACGCGACGCCGCAGCCGCCGCCGGCGGCACUCCUCCUCGCACUCCGCCACGCCCUCGCCGUCGCGACGCGCCCUCUUCCCUCGCCCCCCCCCCCUCCUCCG